UACCGAGGGGGCAAGCGUUAUUCGGAAUUAUUGGGCGUAAAGGGCGCGUAGGCGGCCUGGCAAGUCGAAGGUGAAAUCCCUCGGCUUAACCGAGGAACUGCCUUCCAAACUGCUUGGCUUGAGUCCGGGAGAGGUGAGUGGAAUUCCCAGUGUAGCGGUGAAAUGCGUAGAUAUUGGGAGGAACACCAGUGGCGAAGGCGGCUCACUGGACCGGAACUGACGCUGAUGCGCGAAAGCGUGGGGAGCAAACGGG
Molecule: ribosomal RNA, 253 nt
Filed under: uncultured bacterium
Lineage: Bacteria
Description: partial 16S ribosomal RNA
Rfam family: Bacterial small subunit ribosomal RNA
Source: RNAcentral